UAAUACAUGCAAGUCGAACGAACUCUGGUAUUGAUUGGUGCUUGCAUCAUGAUUUACAUUUGAGUGAGUGGCGAACUGGUGAGUAACACGUGGGAAACCUGCCCAGAAGCGGGGGAUAACACCUGGAAACAGAUGCUAAUACCGCAUAACAACUUGGACCGCAUGGUCCGAGYUUGAAAGAUGGCUUCGGCUAUCACUUUUGGAUGGUCCCGCGGCGUAUUAGCUAGAUGGUGGGGUAACGGCUCACCAUGGCAAUGAUACGUAGCCGACCUGAGAGGGUAAUCGGCCACAUUGGGACUGAGACACGGCCCAAACUCCUACGGGAGGCAGCAGUAGGGAAUCUUCCACAAUGGACGAAAGUCUGAUGGAGCAACGCCGCGUGAGUGAAGAAGGGUUUCGGCUCGUAAAACUCUGUUGUUAAAGAAGAACAUAUCUGAGAGUAACUGUUCAGGUAUUGACGGUAUUUAACCAGAAAGCCACGGCUAACUACGUGCCAGCAGCCGCGGUAAUACGUAGGUGGCAAGCGUUGUCCGGAUUUAUUGGGCGUAAAGCGAGCGCAGGCGGUUUUUUAAGUCUGAUGUGAAAGCCUUCGGCUCAACCGAAGAAGUGCAUCGGAAACUGGGAAACUUGAGUGCAGAAGAGGACAGUGGAACUCCAUGUGUAGCGGUGAAAUGCGUAGAUAUAUGGAAGAACACCAGUGGCGAAGGCGGCUGUCUGGUCUGUAACUGACGCUGAGGCUCGAAAGUAU
RNAcentral lists this ribosomal RNA (748 nucleotides) under Lactiplantibacillus plantarum. Its description in RNAcentral is "bacterial SSU rRNA". It matches the Rfam family "Bacterial small subunit ribosomal RNA", at positions 49 to 762 of the family's 1533-position model. Lineage: Bacteria; Bacillati; Bacillota; Bacilli; Lactobacillales; Lactobacillaceae. The record is from RNAcentral.